GCAUUUAUAGCCGAGUGGACGAAGGCACGGGACUCAUAAUCUCGCUCCGAAAGGACAUCGCUGGUUCGAAUCCAGCUGGAUGCA
Molecule: transfer RNA, 84 nt
Filed under: Eutreptiella pomquetensis
Lineage: Eukaryota; Euglenozoa; Euglenophyceae; Eutreptiales; Eutreptiaceae
Description: tRNA-Met
Rfam family: tRNA
About the family: Transfer RNA (tRNA) molecules are approximately 80 nucleotides in length. Their secondary structure includes four short double-helical elements and three loops (D, anti-codon, and T loops). Further hydrogen bonds mediate the characteristic L-shaped molecular structure. tRNAs have two regions of fundamental functional importance: the anti-codon, which is responsible for specific mRNA codon recognition, and the 3' end, to which the tRNAs corresponding amino acid is attached (by aminoacyl-tRNA synthetases). tRNAs cope with the degeneracy of the genetic code in two manners: having more than one tRNA (with a specific anti-codon) for a particular amino acid; and 'wobble' base-pairing, i.e. permitting non-standard base-pairing at the 3rd anti-codon position.
Source: RNAcentral